RNAcentral lists this long non-coding RNA (232 nucleotides) under Vigna radiata. RNAcentral's name for it is "long non-coding RNA (VRAD_LNC009697)". Lineage: Eukaryota; Viridiplantae; Streptophyta; Magnoliopsida; Fabales; Fabaceae. The record is from RNAcentral.
AAUCUGGCAAGAUCUUAAAUAGUUUUAAAUCUCCAUAACAACAAAAUUUAUAGGAUAAUUGGAGAUUACAUAUUCAUAAAUGAAAUUUCAACAAAAGAAAAGUAAAAAACGAAACCUAGUCCAAAUUCUAUACAAAGAAACUUUAGAAAACACAUCAAUGGAGCUUAGGAACCCUUUGGAGGCCUAAGACCUCUCCAUUAUCUUCCACGUCCUUCCCCCUCUUUUAUUCUCU